UCUGUGAGGUCCUUGGGGACAGCUCUGUGGGGUCACCUCUAUGGGGUCUUGGGGUCACUUCUAUGGGG
This 68-nucleotide microRNA precursor is filed under the name Gallus gallus (chicken). Its description in RNAcentral is "microRNA gga-mir-12292 precursor". Lineage: Eukaryota; Metazoa; Chordata; Aves; Galliformes; Phasianidae. The record is from miRBase by way of RNAcentral.